AAUCAAAACAAGGAAGUUAUACAUCAUCGCAAAACGCAGUUGAGGAGGAUAGUGGUGUGUCUUUUCGGCAUCCUAUUUGCGCCUUCUUAAGACAUCCUUCUUAUAUUGGAGCCUAAUGAGUUGCCCAUUAAAAGCCCUUCUGUCCCUCUUUUGCAAUGGAGCUCAGAGCAAUCUACAGUAUUCCUCGUGUACCCGCAACAACUAAGAACUCAUGUAGGCCGGAAUCAUAAUACAUAAAAGCAAGAAAGCCAAAUUUAAAAAAGGUUCUUUCUCAGUUGAAGCUCAAAUCUAUCGAAAUAACCAAAAAUGAAAACUAUCUACAGUCCACCCAGAGGUGGGGGAGAGCAACCCACAAACGGACCAAGGAAGGAAG
This 373-nucleotide unclassified non-coding RNA is filed under the name Hevea brasiliensis (rubber tree). The record is from RNAcentral. Lineage: Eukaryota; Viridiplantae; Streptophyta; Magnoliopsida; Malpighiales; Euphorbiaceae.